RNAcentral lists this ribosomal RNA (460 nucleotides) under uncultured bacterium. RNAcentral describes it as "partial 16S ribosomal RNA". It matches the Rfam family "Bacterial small subunit ribosomal RNA", at positions 338 to 795 of the family's 1533-position model. The record is from RNAcentral.
CCUACGGGCGACAGCAGUGAGGAAUAUUGGUCAAUGGACGAGAGUCUGAACCAGCCAAGUAGCGUGAAGGAUGACUGCCCUAUGGGUUGUAAACUUCUUUUAUAUGGGAAUAAAAUGUUCCACGUGUGGGAUUUUGUAUGUACCAUAUGAAUAAGGAUCGGCUAACUCCGUGCCAGCAGCCGCGGUAAUACGGAGGAUCCGAGCGUUAUCCGGAUUUAUUGGGUUUAAAGGGAGCGUAGGUGGAUUGUUAAGUCAGUUGUGAAAGUUUGCGGCUCAACCGUAAAAUUGCAGUUGAAACUGGCAGUCGUGAGUACAGUAGAGGUGGGCGGAAUUCGUGGUGUAGCGGUGAAAUGCUUAGAUAUCACGAAGAACUCCGAUUGCGAAGGCAGCUCACUGGACUGCAACUGACACUGAGGCUCGAAAGUGUGGGUAUCAAACAGGAUUAGAUACCCCAGUAGUC